AUGUGACCAUACCAAACUGUUGCCUCGGCGGGGUCACGCCCCGGGUGCGUCGCAGCCCCGGAACCAGGCGCCCGCCGGAGGGACCAACCAAACUCUUUCUGUAGUCCCCUCGCGGACGUUAUUUCUUACAGCUCUGAGCAAAAAUUCAAAAUGAAUCAAAACUUUCAACAACGGAUCUCUUGGUUCUGGCAUCGAUGAAGAACGCAGCGAAAUGCGAUAAGUAAUGUGAAUUGCAGAAUUCAGUGAAUCAUCGAAUCUUUGAACGCACAUUGCGCCCGCCAGUAUUCUGGCGGGCAUGCCUGUCCGAGCGUCAUUUCAACCCUCGAACCCCUCCGGGGGUCCGGCGUUGGGGAUCGGGAACCCCUAAGACGGGAUCCCGGCCCCGAAAUACAGUGGCGGUCUCGCCGCAGCCUCUCAUGCGCAGUAGUUUGCACAACUCGCACCGGGAGCGCGGCGCGUCCACGUCCGUAAAACACCCAACUUCUGAAAUGUUGACCUCGGAUCAGGUAGGAAUACCCGCUGAACUUAAGCAUAUCAAUAA
This 541-nucleotide ribosomal RNA is filed under the name Trichoderma viride. RNAcentral describes it as "eukaryotic LSU rRNA". The stretch from base 160 to 313 matches the Rfam family "5.8S ribosomal RNA". The record is from RNAcentral. Lineage: Eukaryota; Fungi; Ascomycota; Sordariomycetes; Hypocreales; Hypocreaceae.